AACUUUUUCUUCUGCCAAACAAGUUCCUUCUUAUAUCACGUUGAAACAACCAAUUAAGUCCUCCGCUAGUCAAUCUUGUCCAGAAAAGAAGUAUCAUUCUGUGCAUAAUUUUGAUGUUGCAACUUACCAGGAUAAAGUUAAAGGCUUAGAUACUUCUGGUGUUCUUCAAUUGAUUAAAAAUGUUUUCAGGCCUGAUGAGAAUUUUUCCUUUCCUAAGACCGGUGGUAGGAGCUUUAGAUAUGACUGGCUAAAAAAAUAUGACUGGCUAUGCUACUCCCCAUCAAAAGAUGGUGCAUUUUGUUUGUCAUGCGUGCUUUUUGGUCAUCGCUUCCCUGGUAAAGCUUCUAAGAUUACAAAUUUGUUUUCUAAACCGGUUUCACGCUGGAAUGAUGCUGCAUUUACUUUUAAACGCCAUGAUGAAGGAGAAGUGGGGUUGCAUGCCCAAACAAAUCCAAUUUUAUUUGCCUUACGUGCUCAAAUGUCAGGGUCUGCGCAACCAAUAGAGCUCAUGUUAGAAAGAAAUCUUAAAAAGGAAAUCGAUCAGAACAAAUGUAAGCUGUCUUCUAUUGCUGAUUGCAUUCUUUUUUGUGGUCGUUUAGGUUUGCCUUUGCGUGGCCACCGUGAUGAUGCUAAAUAUCAUCCAGAGCUGAUGAGGCUGCAGAUUCUUCCCAUAGAGAGCAAAUGGCUCUAAUUUUACGUUUUAUUGAUAAGAAUAUGGACAUAAGAGAGGAGUUCAUUGCCUUUCUUCAAUGUAAGUGGGGAUUGAGUGGAGAGAACCUUGCUAAAUUAAUUCUAGAUAAACUUAAAGACCUUGGCUUGCCAAUUGAAGACUGUCGCGGACAAGGUUAUGAUGGUGCGGGUGCUGUUGCAGGUUGUGUUAAAGGUUUGGCUGCCCAAAUUUUGAAGCUCAACUCGAAAGCAUUAUAUACCCACUGUUAUAGUCAUAGGCUUAAUUUGUCAGUUUGUGAUUCUUUGUCAGAUAUUGAGGUUAAGAAAGUACUUAACAAAAUAAAAGAUGUGACAAAUUUUA
Molecule: long non-coding RNA, 1030 nt
Organism: Xenia sp. Carnegie-2017
Lineage: Eukaryota; Metazoa; Cnidaria; Anthozoa; Malacalcyonacea; Xeniidae
Exons: 2
Source: RefSeq, a predicted model, not a curated record